CCCUUGGUUGGCCUAUGUUUGGGUUGAUUAUAAUUGGCUAGUGUUUUCUCUCUCCUUCUUUUUUGCUAUAGUUCGAUUAGCAUGAUUAUUAGCUCAUUCAAGUUGUACUAUUUUCACGACACACUCCUAGUUGUAUAUACCAACAAAGCUGUUUGAUCUUUGAUGUAUACAAGUAUUUCGGCCCCCUCUGUUCUCUGUGUCUAGGUGUAUAUACCCACAAAGCCGGUAACAUAUGUUUGGUUACCUCCUUGUUCACUAAAUUACUCGCUGCCUGUUUGUUGGAGCUGGAAGUGAAAACCUUAGUUUUAUAUUUUGCACCUAGUAUGAAAGCUUAUGUAGUUGUAUCUCAGAAAUAUUUUGUGUUGAUGAUUUCACAUAUGUAAUCAUGCCUCGGUUACAUGGUUCUAAUCAUCUUUCACCUUACCACACCUUUUCAGGUCGGCGGCAUGAUGCUUCGGGUGCGAUAACCACUUCGUAUCUGGUGAAAUCUCAUUUGGUCGCGUUACUACAUAAAUAUGGUUGCCAGACAUAUUGUUGUGCCUAUGGAAGUGAUGGACGUAUUACACGAACAUGUGUGUUCUUAUGACCAGGGACGGAGCCAGGAAAUGGGGAUGAGGGGGGCGAGAAUUUUAAGCAUAAAAAUCUAAGAAAAUAUAGUCAUAUAUUACAGUAAGCAUCCUUAGGUCCGUAUCUAUUAAUUUAAAAUCGAUCCAGUGGCCACCAUGAUAGAAAAAUCUACAUAAUUUCAAUCCUAAAAAAAACUACAUUAUUUCUAUAAUACAAAACCUCGCUGGUAGUUUUGUUCUCUUAAUGUCCACAGGCACAAGUGAACGAUUGAACACUUGCCAAUAGAAUUUUGCCGUUUGUAGUUUCGAUACAAGCUAACUUAAUGUUGGAUGAUCAUCCAAGGACUAACUAAAACACGACCAAAAUCCAAGAGGAGAGUGGACUAACUUUUCUUCUUCGUUGCCUCCUCCCUGCUCAUCUUGAUCAAGCGGCCGGCCGGCCGGGCGUGCACCCGUGCAGCCUUGCAUGACCGCCCUCUUCUCACCAUCUAUCUUCGAUCUGCAAUGGAAACCAAGCCUGAUCUAAAUAGCCCUCGGCGGCGGCGGCGGCGGCGGCAGUGGCGAACAGGAGCACAAACGAAACAGGUGUGGCGAACAGGAUCUGUGUAACCGCGUGUGUGCUGCCACCAUGGUUUCCACUUUCCAAGUCCCAGGCCGGCUGGCCCAAUCCACAUGUGUGUUGCUGGUUUCCAACUGAUCUAUAUGGGCUUCUGUCUGCAGUUGAUGGGUUGGGGCCUGAGAGUUUGAGAGUUUUCAGGUGACGUUGCGUUUCACAGGGGGGGGCAGAACCGCAGAAUUAGUCACGCAGAUGCUAAAUUAGUCAACCAACCAACCGCUAUUAAGGGGAGGAAAAAAUCGUUAGGGGGGGUCUAGCCCCCCCUCGUCCCCCCUUGGAUUCGUCCCUGCUUAUGACACUGCUUGUCAGGUUUUCCUAGUACUGUAUCUCGACGAUUGGUUGAAUUGCGAAUGCGUAUGCGGAUAUCUAUGGACGGCAGAGGGAAUGUAUCGUGAAGUCUUUUCGGGAGGGGAAUACGGUGAUUAGUUACUGGUAAGCAAGGACUAAAUUGCUUUGCCCAUGGUUUUACCUGCCCCGCAUGGCGACAUGC
RNAcentral lists this long non-coding RNA (1672 nucleotides) under Triticum aestivum (bread wheat). RNAcentral's name for it is "long non-coding RNA (TAES_LNC009841)". Lineage: Eukaryota; Viridiplantae; Streptophyta; Magnoliopsida; Poales; Poaceae. The record is from RNAcentral.